UGGGGAAUAUUGCACAAUGGGCGCAAGCCUGAUGCAGCCAUGCCGCGUGUAUGAAGAAGGCCUUCGGGUUGUAAAGUACUUUCAGCGAGGAGGAAGGCGUUGUGGUUAAUAACCGCAACGAUUGACGUUACUCGCAGAAGAAGCACCGGCUAACUCCGUGCCAGCAGCCGCGGUAAUACGGAGGGUACAAGCGUUAAUCGGAAUUACUGGGCGUAAAGCGCACGCAGGCGGUGUGUCAAGUCGGAUGUGAAAUCCCCGGGCUCAACCUGGGAACUGCAUCCGAAACUGGCAGGCUAGAGUCUUGUAGAGGGGGGUAGAAUUCCAGGUGUAGCGGUGAAAUGCGUAGAGAUCUGGAGGAAUACCGGUGGCGAAGGCGGCCCCCUGGACAAAGACUGACGCUCAGGUGCGAAAGCGUGGGGAGCAAACA
RNAcentral lists this ribosomal RNA (427 nucleotides) under uncultured bacterium. RNAcentral's name for it is "partial 16S ribosomal RNA". It matches the Rfam family "Bacterial small subunit ribosomal RNA", at positions 355 to 774 of the family's 1533-position model. The record is from RNAcentral.